Molecule: RNA transcript, 13106 nt
Organism: Vicia villosa (hairy vetch)
Lineage: Eukaryota; Viridiplantae; Streptophyta; Magnoliopsida; Fabales; Fabaceae
Gene name: putative disease resistance RPP13-like protein 1
Exons: 6
Source: RefSeq, a predicted model, not a curated record
GUGGUGGGAAGUUGCAUGGUAUGUAGGAAGACACGUUGCUAAAAUAAGCUCAAUCAUUUUUCUACUUAUUUCUCAUUCCCUUCCAUUUUAAAGUUCAUCUCUCAAUCCACUUCAUUUUUUCCACCUCUCAAUCAAGUUCUCUUUACUAGAAGAUAAAAUCAUCAUUUGUUUGCUUACACCUAUACUUAUUGGCAGGUUUUCGGUGAGAGUAUAGUCUCCUCACGUAUUUCCGGGUUCUCUUUUCUAGAAGAUAAAAUCUUCACUUGUUUGCUUACACCUAUACUUAUAGGUUUGGUGAGAAAUUAUUGUCUCCUCACAUAUUUACUGGGUUUGGGAAAACCCUAGUUUUCAAAAAAGGCAAGUCCUUGGAGGAGAAAGACCAGUUGGUUCAGAGUGCCAAGCGUGCGAAGGAGACUGAGAACAGUAGUAAGGUUGCAGAUGGAAUGGUCAUGGAAAGUGUGAUGAACGAGAUGUUGCAUGCAUUGAAAGCCGUAACUAUCACCACAACGAGUAGGUCUUACAAAGAUACGGUUUUAGAUGGCAAUGGUGUCGAGACUAAGGAUGCAGAGGAGAAGAGUGUUGGCAUGGAAAGUGAUGAUGAGGAAGACGACGAGUUUGUGGAAGCAAUAACAGUGGAGGAUCAAAAAAUUGGAAGGUACGACGGUCCCUUGUUUAUUUUAUCCCUUGUUUAUUUUAUCCAAAACUAAGGAGAAAGGAAUCCAUAAGCCAUGGAAGAAAGGUUGAGAGGUUUUAUAGUUAAGUUGUUGGGUAGGAGAAUCAGUUACAAGGCAUUAGAGACAAGGUUGAAGCACAUGUGGGUGAAAAAAAGGAAUAAUAAUAAUUAUUGACCUUAGUAAUGAUUAUUUUCUUGUUACCUUUUCCCACGAGCAAGAUCAUGCGGUAGCAACAUUGAAUGGGCCUUAGUUUAUAUACGAUCAUUAUCUUACAGUCAAGGAAUGGUGUCCAAACUUCCACCCUCAAAGUGAUACAAUUAAGAAUGUUGUGGUGUGGGUGAGAAUUGCAGAGCUGCCGAUUGAAUAUUACGACAGUGGAAUUCUACAUAACAUUUGCAACAGAAUUCGAAAGACAGUUAAGAUGAACAAGAAUACGAUCAUGCACGAAUGGGGGAAGUAUGCUAGGAUAUGUGUGGAGGUUGAUCUAACCAAGGCGUUAUUGGCAACCUUCAUGUUAGGUGUACGACAAUACCACAUUGAGGGAUGUCUUGACAAGCUAAAAUCUAAUACUGGAGGACUUGCAUGUGAGGGAGGAGUGAGGGCUGGGAACCAGACAAUUGUGGGAGGUCAGCUUGGAGAAAUGAGCAAUGGACCUUGGAAAGUGGUUCAAAAACAGCGUAAAACCUGAGUAUUAAAGGACAAAGGCAGUUGAAUGGUGCUGGAAUGGUGAGACAAGGGCCUGAUGUGGUGGUGGUGGAUAGGCAGCAACAAGGGUCACGUUUUUCUGCAUUAAAUCAGGCGGACGAGGUUUUUGUAUGUGGAGAAGCCAAUGUGGAGGUGAAUAGUGAGCCAAUCAUAGAGAUAGUUCAAUUGGGGGAACAUGUGAUAUCUAAGAAGGUUCAGCUUGUCAAGAUAAUUAAUGCUCAGAAGCAAAAAGAGGAUGAGACUGUUAGUAUGAGACAAAGCCUGGAAAGGAAUAAAGCAACAACAAGAAUAACGAAAGAUCCUCCAAGCAAAUCAAAGGGUUUAAAAGUGGAUAGUGGUGGUCAAAAUAUUAAUCAUGAAAAAAGCAAAAGAGGUAUCAAUCUUAGGGCAAGGGUCACAUGUAGCUUUAAAGGGAAGAUAGUGAGUAAGAAUGUUGGGCGUAAUGCUAUGGAGAAUAACAUAGGUGUUAUGGAAGCAAGUAAACUGGCGGCAUUAUUUAAGAACCAAUUCAAGCCAAUGAGGCAUUGUCACAACGAUAUGCAACAUGAAGAAAACAGGAGCAUUAGAGCCACAAGCUACCAGGGUGGGCCAGUUUUGGAGCUACUCCAAAAUGAUGAUACUUAUAAGGCCAAGCCACCAGAUGUUAGUAAAGGCCUGCAUUAUGCAGGCCUGGGGAAAUACAGCCUCGGCGCAAGUGAGAUUUUGGAGCCCAGGUCGGAUCAACUUCAAGAAGUCAUAGAAUCUACACCGAUUUCUUCGAAUACGGAGGUUGUAAAGGAAAAUCUUGAUGGAGAGUUGUAGUGAGGCUGGUUGUUAACUCUAAAUAAUCAUUGUUUAUGAUGAAUACACCAAAAAGCAUACUUGUGUGGAAUUUCCGUGGAGCAGCUAACAAGAAUUUUUAUCGUUAUUGCACUGAAUAUGUAAUUAAAUGGAGACCUUUGUUACUGGUAAUUAUGGAAAAACGAUGCCAGGCUGAGGUUGAAGAAAGCCUUUGAGUUGCUAGGGUAUGAUGGUUUUGUUACGUCUGAUAAUAUGGGAUAUGCUGGUGAUAUCGUUAUUGGUUGGCGUUCAAAUUCCAUUGAUGUUCAGCUAGUGGAAUAGUCUCUACAGUAUGUGCAUCUAUAAGUGAACUACACUAGUUGUGCUAAAUGGUUAUUUACUACACUAUACGCAAGCCCAACAUAGGUGAAUUAGAGCAUUCUUUGGGAUAACUUAAGAGCUAUUGCUUGACAUAUGACGGAGGCCUAGGAGAUUUUAAUGACAUUAUGUGUGCAGAUGAGAGGAGAGGUGGGGCACCCGUGAGCCUUAAUAAGUGUGGAAAAUUCAGGAAAGAGUGGAUAGAUGUUAGCUAAUGGAUGCAUGGUUUGGGGUGCUAAAUAUACUUGGAGAGAGCUUAUGUAUCAUGGAGGGAAAAGGAUUUGGGAAAGGCUUGAUAGAGCCCUUAUAAAUGACAACUAGAGACUUAUGUUCCCCGACGGUUAUGUUAAGGUGCUUUCGCAGUUGAGUUUUUUGUAUCAUCACCCUUUGUCGUUAUCUCCCUUCGAUGGUUCACAUGUGUGUCCUCCAAAUCUAUUUAAGUUUAAGAGUGUGUGGCUACUCGAGGAUAGCUACUAUACUAUGCUAAGAAGCAAUUGGGAUCCAGGCUCAACUAUUUGGCAGAAUCUUCAUACAAUACAUACUAAUAGUGUGGAGUGGAAGCUUACUAGUUUUAAUCAAGUUCGUAACCUUAAAAAAGAACUGGUAGCGCGGCUGGGUGGUAUUUAGAAGCGCAUUCAAGCUAGAAUUUUCCAUUGAGGACUCGGUGCGCUUGAGCUUCGUUUACAGGCUGAGUUGGAUGCUAAAUUGUAGCCGGAGAAAUUCAUGUGGCAUCAGUGUUCCCGUGCAAAAUGGUUGCGGGAUGGUGAUAUGAAUACUCGGUAUUACCAUAUCAAAGAGGUUAUGCUACGUCGACAGAAAAAUAUAUUAAUGCUGUGGACUGAUAAUGGUGAAUGGAUUGAGGAUGCUAGUUUGCUCAGUAAUAUGGCGACGACGUUCUACAAGAAGUUGUUCUCGUUAGAUCAGAGGUAGGAUGUGAGAAUUGCCACAAGGUCUUAUUGUAGAUGAAGAAGUUAGAAAAGCUGUUUUUAAUAUGCAUCCGCAGAAAGCGCCAGGGCAAUAUGGAUUUCCCACUGAUUCUUAUAAAAAAUCAUGGGAUAUAGUUAAGGAUAACGUGUGUUGAAAGAAAUGAAUUAAAUGGAUAUCUACCUUAUUCCAAAAGUCUCGCAUCCAGAGCUUAUUAGCCAGUUCAGGCCAAUAUCUUUGUGCAACUCCAUUUAUAAUGUGGUCACGAAGUGGUUAGUUGACAAAUUGGAAGAUUGUAUGACGUUACUCAUAUCCCCUUACCAAACGGAACGUACACGAGAAUAUUACUAUUGCGUAGGAAAUGGUGAACACUAUGAUGAAAGCAAAGGGAUGUAAUAGUUACUUUGUAAUUAAAGUGGAUCUUUCAAAAGCAUAUGAUAAAUUAAACUAGAAUUUUAUAGAGCAUGUGCUUGUUAAAUUUGGUAUUCCGGGUAGUAUGUUGAAUGUGAUACUGCAUGCAAUUUCAGCUGUGGAAAUGAAAGUGAAAUGGAAUGGUGCUAGAAGAGAGUUCUUUUGUGUGCUGAGAGGUAUCAGGCUGGGUGAUCCAAUAUCGCCGUAUUUGUUCGUGUUGUGCAUGGACAAGCUCUCGCAUCUUAUCAGUGAAGAAGUGAAUGAAAGUAGAUGGAAAGCUCCUAGGGCUGGUAGAAAUGGUCCAGUUAUCUCCCAUCUGAUGUUUGUGGAUGACUUAUUACUGUUUGGCGAAGCUAAUAUGGUCCAGAUUAGGUGUGUUAUGCGAACUUUGGAGGUUUUCUGCAAGGCUUCAGGCCAACAAAUGAGUAAUGAGAAGACUAGUAUAUUGUUUUUGCCUAACUUGAGUAGAAGAAGUAAAGAGGAUAUCCUUCGCAUUUCUGGUUUUCGUGAGACCAAUGUCCUUAGAAAGUACCUUGGAGUGCCUCUCACCGGUAAAGCUCCCAAGAGAAAAGAUUUUGAGUACGUCGUUGACCAAGUAAAGGUUAAGCUCGUGAAGUGGAAGGAAAAGCAACUUUCUUUUGCGGGGAGAAUAAUGUUGGCUAAGAGCAUUUUGGAGGCCAUACCAAUUUAUCCUAUGAUGAAGCGUAUGCUUACAAAAACUAGUGUAGAGGAAAUUCAUAAGAUUCAGCGGCAGUUUAUAUGGGGGGAUACGGAGUUUCGACGGAAGUAUCAUGCAGUGGGUUGAGAGAUGAUCACUCAACCGAAAAUCCUUGGUGGAUUGGGGCUUCGGCGACUUCAUGUAAUGAAUAAGGCAUGUAUUAUGAAGCUAGUCCAUGGACUGCAGACUACUUCACAAGACUUGUGGUGUCAAGUUCUUCAUGGAAAAUACCAGUGAAAUAACUGCGGUAAUUAUAUGGAAGUGCGGCCUAUUGAUUCUCAUUUAUGGAGAAGUAUAAUCAAGUUAUGGCCUUUGAUGGAAUAUUAUAAGUAAUGGCUAGUUAGAGAUGGGGGAACCAUUUAGUUGUGUUAUGAUACGUGGAUUACCGCAGGUAUUAAGCUGGCUGAGAUAUCGCUGGAUAUACCAGCAAAUUGCAAUAAUGCAAAGCUGGCCGAUGUUGUUCUUGACGGACAAUGGAAUUGGAGUAUGCUACAGUGGAUUCCUGCAUGAUUCUUAGGAAAAAUAAGCGUUAUCCUGGCUCCACGUGACAAUUACAGUGCUGAUGAGAGGGUGAGCUGGGAUACGGAUCCAAAACAGACCUCUAUUGCUAACAUGUACUACAAAAUGUGCAACUUUCAGCAAUAGGCAGAGAAACACGACUUGGAUUUGGAUAUGGCGGCUAAAAUCCCCAGAGCAGGUUCGGGUGUUUGUUUAGAAAGUUAAGCAUAAUCGAUUGCUCACUAAUGUACGGAAGCACCGUAUGGGACUUGGCAUACGCAAUUGUGACUACUGUCAUGGCUUCCCGGAAACUGCUCUUCACGUGGUGCAGGACAGUAAAUUGGCGUAUCAAUUUUGGUGCAGUAUUGUCCCAAUUACGAAAAGGUAUAACUUUUUCAUGUGUAACCUGUCGUCAUGGAUGAACAGGAAUUUAUGCAAUAAACGAAAUCUUGGUUGGCCAGAAAAUUGAGACAUAUUUUGGGCGAAUGCUUGCUAUAUGCUGUGGAUGUGGAGGAAUAAAGAGAAGUUUAAUGAAGGUUUCGUUCGGCCGCAUAAUCAGGUGGAGAGAGUGGGGAGGGUGAUUGGAUGUUAUGAGAUAUCAGAUGGAAUUAUGCAAGACUGUUGUACGGGAAGAGAAAUUACUAUGAAAAUUCACUUUGUCCCUCCUAAAAGUGGGUGGAUUUGCAUUAAUAUCGAUGGAGCUUGUAAAAAUGGUAUUAUUGGUUGUGACGGUGUGAUUCGAGGGGGUGUCAGUGAAUGAAUUAAUGGGUUUGAAAUUUAUUGGGAGAGGGGACCCUUAUCUCGAUGAACUAUGGGGUCUCUAUGAAGAGUUGCAGCUUGCUAGGAAUACACACUUUUGUAAGGUAGAGCUGAGGGUGGAUUCAUUGAUAGUGGUUCAGAAUGUCAAAGAGAUGAGACUUAUCCAUCUAGGACGGAAUAAUCUCGCGACCAAGAUAAUUAGUAUGUGGGAUCUAGACUGGGAGUUGGAAAUCGUCCAUGUUCAUAGGAAAGUUAAUCAAGUGGUUGAUGCACUGACAAACCAUAGUUUUUUCCUGAAGGAAGAGUAUAGCAUUUUCACGGAUUGUCCUAUUAAUUUUGAGAAUAUUCGUAGAGCAGAUUAUAACAACAUUAAUAUUCAUAGAGUUACUUGUCUGUAGUUUUCUUUCUCCGGGCAUUUAUCCCUCUCUCUAAUAAAAAUAAAAAUAAAAAGAAAAGAAUAUUACUUUUAAUCUAUAUUCUUUUUAUUAAAAAAUAUUAAACAUUUGACUAUGGAAAAAAAUUCAUAGAUUCUUAUCCAUGAGAAUUAAAAGAAGAUAUUUCUUUUAACUUUAUUUUUUUAAAUUUUUUUUAUAAUUUUUUUUAAAUGUUACGAACUUUUUCAAAUUCCUUUUUUUAUAAAUUGAAAGAUUAAUUUUGAUAAGUAAUGACAUAAACAUGUAUUUAUUAAUAGGCUCACAAACGCUUUAAAAAACAUAGGAAAUUAUUUUAUGCCUUUAUAUAGUGGAAAACACCCAUAAUAUUCCCAAAAUACCUUUCAGAUAUGCAUAUUCGAAGACACUCUUAUUACGUUCUUAUCACCUUUCAGAUAUGCAUAUGCCUUUAAAAUUUCAGGUGUUUUUUCGGAUAUGCAUAUCCGAAAAAACGCAUUUAAAAAAAAUGGAAUAUUGGUUAAUUUGGAUAUGCAUAUCUGAAGUAUUUAAUAUUAAAAAAAAGUUUAUUUUAUUUUGAAAUAAUAUUUAUUUUAUAAUAUAAUUAUAUAAUAAUUAGAGUGAGUUAUUAUUAAUAAAGAAUAACUUAAAUACAAAUGGUUAUAAAUAAGGAAUAGAAGAUUAAAUAAAAUUUUAAUUUAUAUAGGAAUAUUUUAAUUUAUAAGCAUUAUAAUUUUUAAUUUAUAUUAAUUUUUUAAUUAAUUUUAUAUGAGAAUAAUGUGUUGAUUUAAAUAUUUAAUUAAUUAUAUAUUUUGAUAAAAAUGGUUUAUAUUUAAUUAUAUAUCUUGAUUAAAAUGGUAUGUAUUUAAUUAUAUAUUUUGAUUAAUACAAUUAAUUCAUCUUGAUUUUAAUUUUUUUAACAAAUAUUGAGUUUUUUCGAAUAUGCAUAUUCGAAAAAUUCUAAGACAAAAAAUUGAGUUAUUUCUGAUGUGCAUCUCCAAAGUCACCUCUUUUCAAAAAAAUCUAUUCAGAUAUGCAUAUCCGAAAUCACCAUUUAUAUAAAAAAGUGUGUCUUCGAUGCACAUCCAAAAAAUAGAAGUAUUUUGAAGAUUUCGCCGCGAGUAUGUAAGAAGACAUACGAAUGCAUAAAGAAAUUACCAAAAUAUAUAUCAAAAUUUUUUUUAAAAAAAUAACUUUUUAAAAAGUAAUCCUUUUAUCAAUAAAUUUAAGAGUAUAUAAAUGUUGGUUUGUUGAUACUUUGAAUACAUCAAUAAAAAGUAUAAAAUAAAGUUCUCAGAGAAUUGUCAACAACCGGAUUUCACAUAUAAAGGAGAUUCGUUCCUCUUUGAGGAAGUAUGUCAGGCACGUUUUUACGGUAAAUAUCAUACCUAGUAACAUCACCAAAACUUUGGAAGAGAGCCAAAAUUCAAAAUCACCUCCAUUAAAGACGACACUAAAAUUAUCCCUCACAACAAUGAUUUUAUGGUCAUUAUUGGUGCAAUAUUACGAUGGAAUAUAAAGCGAGAGUACCAAUCGACCUUAAAAGCUUGACAAAGGUUUUAUUCUGGAGCACCUUUUAAGGGAUUCAGCUUGACCCAGACAACAUCAGAGCAUUCCAAGAUUCUUUGAUUAGUCUGUCAGAUAAACAUGUAUAUAUAACAAUCGAAACAACAUUAGGCUCACAGGAAAGCGUAAAAACAAUCAAAGUAAGGUAUCUCGUGGUGGAUGCCUUGUUUCCAUACAAUGCCAUCCUAGGAAAUCCUGCCUUCAACUUGCUACGGAUGGUCAUGCCUACCCUUUAAAUAAGUUUCAAGUAUCGCGUUGUCAUAAACAUUGCCCUAAGCCAGAAGCACGAGAGGAAGAUGUCACAAGAUGGAACCCUAGAUUAUUUACCUAAAAUAAAAGGCUCACUCCCACGAAGGAUUUGAAAGAAGUCCGGAUUGGGCCUUUGAAACAUCAAGUGACCAAAUUAGGCACCUCCUUAUAUAUUUCUAAGGAGGGAGAGCUGGUCGCCCUACUAAGGAGGAACAUAUACUUGUUCGCCCAUGAGUCUUCAAAUAUGCCAAGAAUAGGUACAAGAGUGGUCUGACAUCGCCUCGCAAUUGACCUCGCAGUAAAAGCAUUAUCUUAGCGGAAUUAGAUCUUGAUGGAUUAUAUGGAUGCGACCAAGAAAACAUUCAUGUACAAUCACAUAAAUUAUUGCUUCAAUGUCAUGCCAUUUGGGCUAAAGAAUUAGGAGCCAUUUAACAAAGAAUCAUGGACACAGUAUUCUCUAAAUAGAUAGGGAACAACCUGGAGGUAUACAUUGAUGACAUUAUAGUAAAGACCUUAAAAGGGAAGAGUCAUGCAACAAACCUAUAAGAUAUCGUUGAGUCAGUCAAAAACUACAACAUGCAUUUGCUAAGUGCUCCUUUGGCAUACAAGAUCAAGUUUCUAGGUUUUGUAUUAACCAAGAGGAGGUAUAAAUGUGAACCCAAAUAAGUGUUAGACCAUCAGUGACACGAGAAGCCUUAUGCACGUUAAAAAGGUUCAACAACUAACGUGGCAUUUAUCUUCCCCAUCUCUUUUCCUUUCUUGUCCAGAUGACAAUGCUUUUCAUUUAUUUGCCACUUUGAAGAAAAAGGAGAUGUUCACUUGGACGAGCAAGUGCGAAGAGGCAUUCCCAAAAUUAAAGGUCUUCCUGACAUCGUUGCCCAUCUUGACUCGCCUAAUAGUAGUUUCUCCCUUCUACCUCUAUUUGUUUGUUACUAACCAUGCGAUGAGUUUGAUGCUCGUCCAAGAUAUAGAUAAAGUUGAGCGAUAUGUCCAUUUUGUGAACUAAGUAUUUAAGGGUGUUGAGGCUCGAUAUCAAAAUUUUGAAAGACUCGGUGGUCGUGAUAACUACAAGAAAACUCAUACCCUACUUUCAGGGGCAUCGCGUUAUGGUGAAAACCAACUACCACAUUCAAGAGGUCUUGAAGAAGUCAGGUCUAGAAGGAAGGAUACUAUCUUAGGCAGUGAAACUAUUUAAGUACGAAAUUCCGUAUAUACCCCUCAUUUAACCAUUAUAGAGACUUCGUUCAUAAUGGUAUACGAAAAGGACAUCAUGCUACCUGUUGAAAUAAACACACCCACUUGGUGGCGCUCUCUAUAUAAUGCGAAAGAGAAUGAGGCAGGGAUUAGAUGCGCAAUCGACCUAAUUGACGAGAAGAGGGAUGUUGCUCACAUGAAGGUAUAUUUUUCCAAGGAAACAACAUCCAGAAUGUACAACUCAAAAGGGGUUUUUAAGGGAAAUGCAAGAAGGAGAACUAGUACUUAGACAUGUUGUUGUUCCCAUCAUGUAGGUGAAACUAUAACUCAAUUAGGAAGGACCAACAACAUAUGUCAAAAACUACCUCACGGAACCUACAAGAUUGAAGAGCUGGUGGACGACUCAUCCCCAGAACAUGGAACUCUAUUAUCGUGUGAUAUUACUAUAGUUAAUUGUUUUUUGGUUAUGUCUUUAAAUACAAAAGGCAUUUGGCCUAUCAAUUUGGGAAUCUCUUUGAAAAUAUUAUUGUUAUUUACAAUCGGUUAUUUCGUUCCUAAGUUGACAUGAAUAUCAGGCUUUUACAUGAAUAUCCUUGCCACCCUCUAAAAGAUAAUCUAAACGUUGAACUUUCAAAGGAGGAUCAUUCCCGCCCUUAAACAACUUAAAGUCUUGCAUGAGGGAAUCAACUCAAAGCCUCGCAUGAAGGACUUAACUUAGAGUAUCACCAGAGAGAUGCAACUUAAGGUCUUACUUAAGAGACUCGAAUUAAACUCUUGCCCUAAGGGAAUAAACUUAAAGUUUCUCUAAAGGGACUCAAUAAAGACCCUCACCCGAAGGACUCAACUUAAAGUCUCACCUAAGGGACUCAAUUGAGAGUCUUGUCUCAACAACUUAAGCUAAACAAUUGAAAUAACUUUGUAUUUUAUAAAGACAUCGUGUUUGAGAGAUUGUCUAUUGGAAUAAGUGUAAAAGUCCCCUAGAGGAGGUACCCUAACUCUUAAGACAUGCGAGGUGGAACAUCUCCCACGCGAGAGACUCCAUGGCCUCCCAUUUAUUGGGAUGGGAUCUCAUUUCUUGAUUUGGUCUCCCACUCUAUGGGUGACUCGCUCGAUUCGUGAGAAUGUGAAUGCUGACGUGUCCUAGCCCAACAAUAGUUAGGAUAUGGAAGUUAAAAAAGGAAAGAUCACAUUCUCCUGAAUAAUAGGAAAUUAGUUGUUCACUCUCCAUAUUCUUAGGAGCGAUUAUUAUUAUAUUGGAGCUUGAGGUCCAGGUCUAAAGAUUUAUAAUAAAUACCUCAACCCUAAGGUUGAAGCGAAUCCUGUUCAUUAUGCAAAGCACCAUAUACAAAGCUUCUCACCAUUCCCGCGUCUGCUUCCUCUAAUACACAACAACCAUAAACACCUCUGGAAGCCCUACACAACAAAGGAUUGUCUUGUAUUUUACUUUUGGCAAACAAACAAACUUGCAAACAAACUAAUGAAAAAAGGUGUCAUCCAUCAGUGCAACGCUCAAAUAAAAUAACCAGUCAAAAACUAGUCCCACUCUAUUUUUAAAUCGACAACUAAAGGCCCCAAAAGUACAUCGAGCAAACUAAAAAAGCCACAAUAUAUGCCAUACCAAGGUUACAAGAACAACAAAACAAGAACGACCAAAGAAAGAACAAACAAAAUAUGUAAAUUGAGUCCCAAGAUAGUCUAAUACAAAACCAUUGGUCCAAAAAAGAGAGAAAGUUGAAACAAUAAAAUUCAUUGCAAUGACAAUGCAAACACCGUGGAAAAUGGGAAGAGGCUAAAACUUAGCCCAAAAGGAACCACCAUUAGUAGAAAAAAUACUCUAAAAAAACCACCAAAAAACGUCACUGAAAGGUAAAAGACUCUCAAUAUGCUAUUGGCUAAAACAAACAAUAAUGUUCUUAAGCCGAAUGGAGAAAACACAAGAGUUUCGUAGUGGACCUACCAAUAUUCCAUCUCCAUGAUGUGAAAAUGAUCUAAUCUUCCAUAUCCUUUACACCAGUUGACGAAUCUGCAAAAAUUGAUAUCAUUAUGGGAUUUUCUUAACGACCACACUAUCGAAUAUCAAAUCAUAAAAACCCACCUCUUAUGAUGAACAUGCCUCCCAAUGACCUAAACACCUUAAAAAGAGUCGGAAGGUCCUUAGGAAGAGCUAACUAUAACCCCAACCACGUAAAAAAUAUAUACUAAACUGAUGCACACAUUCUGCAUGUUACAAACAAAUAAGAAAUAAACUUGAUAGACCCUUAAACAGUAGACACAAAAUAACUUAUGAGUCAACCAACACCCUCCGCUUAUGCAAGAUCUCUCUGAUAUGAAUCUUAUCUUGAAAAAAUUGUUAAUAGUUUAAAAAGUUUCAAUUACUCCAAAAUAUGGAAAGGGCCGACUCCAUAGAAUUGAGCAACAACUCACUUGGAAGAUUGCACAUAUGAUGAGGUAAGUAAGUUAAGGCUAAAGAAAAAUAUUAUUCUCAUUCAGUUUGAUAAAAAGCCUAUUUAUUAAUGAAAAAUUCGAUAAAUAGAUUGAAAUGUAAGAAUAGAACAAUAACGGUUUCUUCGACGGGGGCUUGGGUGGAAAAUGUUUGGAUUUGGGAGGUGAAGCUUAAGCCUGAGAGGUUGUUACGGGCGGAGGAAGAAAUUGAGUUGGAAUCUCUCUAUUCCGUUAUGCAGGAUGUUCAGAUUUAUCAGCAAAUGAAGGAUUCUUUUAUGUGGUGGAGGAGCAAUAACGGUUUCUCGGUUAAAAGUAGUUAUCAAGGUUUAGAAGCUGCUUUUGGUUUGAAGGUGCGGAUUGAUGAGUGCUACUUUCAGUUGUUGGAUCUGCUUUGGAUAACAAAUGUGCCUAGCAAAAUUCUAGUUUUUGGAUGGAGAUUUUUGUUGAACAGGUUAGCUAGUCAGGAGGCUUUGUCAUUUAGAGGGAUCGUCAGUGGAUCUAACUCUCUUGGAUGUCCCCUCUGUUCUAUUUAUUCAGAAAUUAUUCCCCAUCUGUUCUUCGACUGUUUUAUGCCUUUUUAUGUUCGAGAGCAAAUUUACGAGUGGAUGAAACUGUAGUUUCAAUUUGAGUUAGAUGCUUCUGGUAGUAAUCUCAGCAGUUUUAGUUUUUUGCUAAAAGGAAGGAUGAACAAGAGCAAUCGUCUCUUGGUUUGGCUUUCGGUUUGUUGGGCUAUUUAGCCAAGUAGAAAUGAGGUUGUCUUUCAACUAGUGGUUGUGCGGGCUAGUGAAGUGGUUGAUAGGGCUAAAGUGUUGGCUUGGAACGUUUGUUGCCAAAACCAAAGGUGCAGAUGGUUUAAUUUGGUCUGAUUGGUGUUCUAAUCCUUUGGAUUGUCUUGUGAAUCAUUGACUUAUCCCUUCUAUUUUAGGCUUUGAUUCAGUUGACACUCUUAUAGUUCUUUUCUCUUAUAUGGUUGAGUACCCAUUGUACUCUUUCUAUUAAUACAAAUUUUGCCUAUAAAAAAAAAAUACAACAUCACAUGUCUCUCUUACAUUAACCUCUACACAUCUUUAAGUAUUUUGCAAUAAAUUGCAUUAAAAUUAAAUAUAUAAAUUAUUAUCAUAUUUAUAUUUAUAUAUACCAAUAGUUUAUCUUUAAUCUAUACUACUAUUAUUUUGGAUAUAUAACUUGUACUACUAUUUUAAAUUUAAAUCAUAACACACAAAAAUGAAUCAAUGCCCUUUAAAUUUAUAUAUACAUAUAUGUUUAAGUGAAUUGCUCAAUGCCCUUUUCAUUAUUAUUGUAUGAAUCAGUAUUACAAUAGUUUAUUUGCGCGGAGAUAAAAAUAACAACAACAUCUAUGUUUAUAUUCUACAUAACCAUUACUGCAGAUAUAUAUCCUUUCAUGUGCAUUACACUCAUCUCAAAUUCCUUUAUUUUGUG